This 1842-nucleotide ribosomal RNA is filed under the name Campylobacter jejuni. RNAcentral describes it as "partial 23S ribosomal RNA". It matches the Rfam family "Bacterial large subunit ribosomal RNA", at positions 1 to 1847 of the family's 2925-position model. The record is from RNAcentral. Lineage: Bacteria; Pseudomonadati; Campylobacterota; Epsilonproteobacteria; Campylobacterales; Campylobacteraceae.
AGGUAAGCUACUAAGAGCGAAUGGUGGAUGCCUUGACUGGUAAAGGCGAUGAAGGACGUACUAGACUGCGAUAAGCUACGGGGAGCUGUCAAGAAGCUUUGAUCCGUAGAUUUCCGAAUGGGGCAACCCAAUGUAUAGAGAUAUACAUUACCUAUAUAGGAGCGAACGAGGGGAAUUGAAACAUCUUAGUACCCUCAGGAAAAGAAAUCAAUAGAGAUUGCGUCAGUAGCGGCGAGCGAAAGCGCAAGAGGGCAAACCCAGUGCUUGCACUGGGGGUUGUAGGACUGCAAUGUGCAAGAGGUAAGUUUAGCAGAACAUUCUGGAAAGUAUAACCAUAGAGGGUGAUAGUCCCGUAUGCGAAAAACAAACCUUAUCUAGCAGUAUCCUGAGUAGGGCGGGACACGAGGAAUCCUGUCUGAAUCCGGGUCGACCACGAUCCAACCCUAAAUACUAAUACCAGAUCGAUAGUGCACAAGUACCGUGAGGGAAAGGUGAAAAGAACUGAGGUGAUCAGAGUGAAAUAGAACCUGAAACCAUUUGCUUACAAUCAUUCAGAGCCCUAUGUAGCAAUACAGGGUGAUGGACUGCCUUUUGCAUAAUGAGCCUGCGAGUUGUGGUGUCUGGCAAGGUUAAGCAAACGCGAAGCCGUAGCGAAAGCGAGUCUGAAUAGGGCGCUUAGUCAGAUGCUGCAGACCCGAAACGAAGUGAUCUAUCCAUGAGCAAGUUGAAGCUAGUGUAAGAACUAGUGGAGGACUGAACCCAUAGGCGUUGAAAAGCCCCGGGAUGACUUGUGGAUAGGGGUGAAAGGCCAAUCAAACUUCGUGAUAGCUGGUUCUCUCCGAAAUAUAUUUAGGUAUAGCGUUGUGUCGUAAUAUAAGGGGGUAGAGCACUGAAUGGGCUAGGGCAUACACCAAUGUACCAAACCCUAUCAAACUCCGAAUACCUUAUAUGUAAUCACAGCAGUCAGGCGGCGAGUGAUAAAAUCCGUCGUCAAGAGGGAAACAACCCAGACUACCAGCUAAGGUCCCUAAAUCUUACUUAAGUGGAAAACGAUGUGAAGUUACUUAAACAACCAGGAGGUUGGCUUAGAAGCAGCCAUCCUUUAAAGAAAGCGUAAUAGCUCACUGGUCUAGUGAUUUUGCGCGGAAAAUAUAACGGGGCUAAAGUAAGUACCGAAGCUGUAGACUUAGUUUACUAAGUGGUAGGAGAGCGUUCUAUUUGCGUCGAAGGUAUACCGGUAAGGAGUGCUGGAGCGAAUAGAAGUGAGCAUGCAGGCAUGAGUAGCGAUAAUUAAUGUGAGAAUCAUUAACGCCGUAAACCCAAGGUUUCCUACGCGAUGCUCGUCAUCGUAGGGUUAGUCGGGUCCUAAGUCGAGUCCGAAAGGGGUAGACGAUGGCAAAUUGGUUAAUAUUCCAAUACCAACAUUAGUGUGCGAUGGAAGGACGCUUAGGGCUAAGGGGGCUAGCGGAUGGAAGUGCUAGUCUAAGGUCGUAGGAGGUUGUACAGGCAAAUCCGUAUAACAAUACUCCGAGAACUGAAAGGCUUUUUGAAGUCUUCGGAUGGAUAGAAGAACCCCUGAUGCCGUCGAGCCAAGAAAAGUUUCUAAGUUUAGCUAAUGUUGCCCGUACCGUAAACCGACACAGGUGGGUGGGAUGAGUAUUCUAAGGCGCGUGGAAGAACUCUCUUUAAGGAACUCUGCAAAAUAGCACCGUAUCUUCGGUAUAAGGUGUGGUUAGCUUUGUAUUAGGAUUUACUCCGAAAGCAAGGAAACUUACAACAAAGAGUCCCUCCCGACUGUUUACCAAAAACACAGCACUCUGCUAACUCGUAAGAGGAUGUAUA